This is a long non-coding RNA of Vicia villosa (hairy vetch), 3994 nucleotides long. RefSeq lists it as uncharacterized. NCBI's taxonomy places the organism in Eukaryota, Viridiplantae, Streptophyta, Magnoliopsida, Fabales, Fabaceae. The transcript has 3 exons. The record is from RefSeq and is a predicted model, not a curated record.
GCUUCGUGUAAACAAAGAUGGCUUCCACGCCAAGAUUGUUGGCUGCAUAAAACGGGCAAGUUUCGAUUAUUAGUUUUGCAUAUUUCAUAACAAGUUUGCGUGUUGGUUUUGUAUGAACGUGAGUUGAAUGUAAAAUGAUUUAUGUUUAGACAUUUUAUGCAAAAGUGGGUUGAACAGUAUUCAGAAUCACUUUUAACAGGUUGCGAGAAAUAGUGUGAAGACGUACCCAUUUCGACCGCACAAUUGCAUAUUUGCUCGGUGAUGCAAUCCGGCAAUGAUGCUCCGAGUUUAUGGUGAUUGAGAAGGCUUUGUCUAUUUUCUUCUCUACUCCAUGAUUCCAUUCUACUGCUAGUCAUAUCCAACACUGCCAAAGCUUUCUGUCCAAAUGAACCGAUAGCCGACUCGCCGGAUAACAUCAAAGCAUCCGCAUACUGGCGAACGGCUUCAGAAAUAUCCGCUACCUUAUAUUGCAUGAAAGGAAAGAUUAAUGUAACAGGUAAGUACAGAGUUCAGAAUUUCUAAUGAAAAGUUAUUUUUGUAUAUAUAAAUUGAUUUUACCUCAGCACGAGUUGGUGUUGGAUACUCAACCAUUGACUCGAGAAGCUGAGAAGCUACAAUCACUGGCUUAUUUUGUUGUCUGCAAAUGCGAAUUAUAUCCUCCUGGACUGUAGGAAUCUGUUCAAGUGGUAUUUCGACUCCGAGGUCACCACGAGCUACCAUGAUUCCAUCAGAAGCUUUCACUAUUUCCUCUAGAUUAUGAAGAGAUUCUAAGCUUUCUAUCUUUGCCAAUACUUUUAUGGGCCUGAAACAAUCAUGUACCAUUGUUGGUUUGUGCUAAGAUAACUUUGAACUAAAGCACUUAUACAGAAGAAAACACUUUUCAACGGAACAACAUUUUUUGGCGAAUCUAUGAUUUCUUACUUGGCAGAUUUGUCAGAGAUGUAGUUCUUUAGAUCCUUAACAGAAUCAGCAUGAUUGACAAAGGAUAAGGCAAAAAAAUCAACUCCCUCAGCUAUACCAAAGUUAAUGUCAGCCCAAUCCUGUGGAUAAGUUUACAAGAUAAAACAUAUCAGGGAAAGAUUUUUGAAACUCAUAGCCACUAUUCAAAGAAUUAUACCAAAAUAUAUAAGUGCGGGAAAAAAGACGCUUCGCGGCAAAAUAUACCUUUGUUGAUAGAGUAGGGAGCUUGUAAUUCCUCCUUACAAGCUUUCCAUCUCUCCAGGAACUAAAUUUGGCUCCAGGUAAGAAAAGACCGGCAUCUAUGCACUUACAAUGCAAAUCAUUUCCAGUUUUUUCAACGACUACAAAGCAUGACAUUCCGCCGUCAAUGACAAGUUCAUCGCCAACUUCAAUACCUGACAACCAUUAGCAUAUUCAAAAUUCGCUCAAACGCAUAAUAACAUGUAGUCUGCUCAUUGGAAAAUACAAGGAACGGGUCAAUUCUUCAAUCAUUCGGCAAAAUAUUACUACCUUCAGAAAAACCUGGAUAGCUUGCUUGAACUGUUAAUGGACGAGUACCUUCAAACCGUUCAGCAGUGAACAACCAAAUUGAAUCUUCCUGAGAUUGAAACAAGAAACACAUAGUUCCAAAUUCAAAUACAAACAAUCUCUAUGAUGCACUGGCACAGACACGGACAUCAGUCACAAGUGACACGUCUACAUGAGUAAUAAUUUUAAAAAGAUUGAAGAGAAUAUAACCACAAGUAUUGACACGACACUAGACACGAUGCGACAUGGAACAAGCCUAUCAUAGCAAUUGGUAAAAAAACAGAUGGAACCGCAUCAUACUGCAAUUGCGGUGUGAUUUAAAAUCACGCGUCCGGCCACAUUAGGAACCACAUUAGACAAAUUCGUCCAUGUUUCUUAAGUAUUUUCAUCAAAACUCAAAAUUGUAUUUUCCAAACACCACUCAAUCAAAAUUCACGCUACAGCAGUCGCAAUGCGUAUCACUUCAGCUUACAACCGCAAUUUAAAACCAUGGAUGCAAGAAUAAAUGAAGUUACCUCAACUUUAACGGAGGAAGGUGCUCCAUGAUCAACAACAUGAAUCUGACUACCCUCAGUAUCAAUCAUAACCGAAACCGCAAACCCCUUUUCCUCAUUCAGCUUCUUAAUCUUCCUAAUCACAUCCCGAUGCCAUUCUCUAGUCCCAUGACACAUAUUAAGCCUUGCAACAUUCAUUCCACCCAAUGCCAUCUUCUCUAAAUCCUCCAACGAACUACAAGCAGGACCAACCGUACACACAAGCUUUGUCUUCCUCAGCCCUUUAAAACCCUUCACCAUUAACUCUCCUUCUGAAACCAUAUCCAACCCCAAACUUCCCUCCAAUGCAACACUACUUGUUCUUUUCAAACCCUCUACAUCCACUUCCGCUAUUGCUCUAACCUUAACACUAUGUUUUCUCUUCCAUUUCUCACCUCCCUUGAAACAAAAUCCAAGAUUUGAAACCCUGUUACUCAAAUCAACUGAAUGGUGACUAGAUUGUCUCACGAGGGUUAUAUUUCCAGGUGAAGCAGCCAUUGACUUCAAAACCAUGGCCAUGAGAUUUUUGAUGGAACAAUGAAGUUGUGCCGAAUGUUGAGAUCCAAGUUGUGAACUUUAUCGCAAUAUAGGUGUUGGGUUUUGAAGGGUUUUGUUGUAAACUCCGUCAGAGUUUGGACUUUGGUCGUGAACAAAAUCAGAAACGUUGUAAAAAAAAAAAGGUUGUCUCUUUUGUGUCAAAAAAUGUAAAUUUUUGUCGUUAUUUCUUUUGUCCUUGAGUAACAGAACGUGGCAAUCUUUCGUGCGUUAAAUCAAUCUAAUGGUUAAAAUGGCUUGAAUGCACUACAAUGAGUGUGGCAUGGCAUUUGAAUGAAAGCAUUGAAUCUGAAAAUUACAAUGCACUGAUGGAGAACGAACAUGAAUAGCAAAAACCCACCUUUUUUUUUUUUUGAUGACAUACUUCUUUGUCUUCACUGCUCCAAAGAAAAGAUAGAGAGAAGGUUUGCAAGUUUGAAAGAAGAUGAUUUAAUUUGGAAAUUUUUAUAACUUUCUCCCAAUUAUAUUUAACUUAAAUGUAUUUUUGGUCCUUUUUAUUUUUAAAUUUUUGAAGUUUUAGUCCUUUUAUUCUUAAAUGUAUUUUUGGUCCUUUUUAUUUUUAAAUUUUUGAAGUUUUAGUCCUUUUAUUCUUAAAUGUAUUUUUGUCCUUUAUCUCACUUGGGAUUUUUCUGAUCCGCUCUAUUGACUGUUUCAUUAAUGACGUGGCAAGUAAGUAGUGUCCGAGGUGUUUAAUUUUUAUUUUUAUGAUUUAAUUUUAAAUAUUAAAAAUCGUUUUUUAUUUUUAAAAAAAUUUUUUAAUAAUGUGUAAUUAAGUUAAAUAGGCAACUAGAAUGGUUAUAACCUUAAUCCUCAUUCGUCUCAAUCACACCAUUGCAAGCUUCUUCUUUCAAAUGAAGAACAUCGCAAUUAGGCACGAAGACGAUCCGCUGUGAGAAAUAGAGAACCAGAUUGUUCAACUGAAGGGCUUGGAACGAAAUUGAAGAUGAGUAAUGGACAAGUGAAGUUUUGCUUAAGCAAGGCAACAUUCGAGAAGAUAUACGUUAAUAUUGUGUUUCCCACAAAUGGAUCACAACUAUGGCCUAUUAUUGAUCAUGUGCUAAUUUAAAGAGAAAUUGGACGUUCAAAGAAGAUGAGAAACAAGGAAGCUGAUGAUCCAAAGAACUCAUAUGUACUAUGAAAGAAAUUUGCAACAGUAACUUGUAAGAAAUGUGGUCAAAUUGGACACAACAAAAGAACUUAUAAGGGUAAGAGAGCAACUAAUAGGGAAAUAUAAAAGGGAGACAACAAGGCUAAGAAAGCAAAGACUACAAAGUCUACAAAUAAGGCAAAGGAAACUCAAGCUGAAAUUGGACAGGGGUCUCUAGCACCUCAAGUUACCCAAGAUUAAAUGCAAUUAGGAAUCACUAUGUCUUUUUUUUAAUGUAACAUAUUCUAUUAGGAACCACUAUGUUUUGAUU